Molecule: non-coding RNA, 2235 nt
Organism: Pseudopodoces humilis (Tibetan ground-tit)
Lineage: Eukaryota; Metazoa; Chordata; Aves; Passeriformes; Paridae
Source: RefSeq, a predicted model, not a curated record
CUGCGGGAGGACCUUCCAGCUCUGCAAAGACACGGAGGCUGCUGCAGUUCCCGGUGCUGGCGCUGGAGAAACAUGACCUUCAGCAGCUUUUCUCCUAAACCACCCCGAGCUGAUCCGCGCUAGGGCCCGCUCUUGCUGCAGACACACCCGGGCAGGGUGGCUGGUUAGCCUCGGUUCAUGUGAGAUGCUAGAUGUCACCUGCAGAAGAAGAGAAGAGCUUACCUCUUCCAGAGAGAUGGCCCCGAGCCAGCAAAUUCGCUCUGUCAGCCUGUGCAGCGGCUGUGGCAGAACUAGUGACAUUUCCCCUGGAUCUGACGAAAACCCGGCUGCAGAUCCAAGGUGAGGCUGCCGAGCGCCGCGAUGGAGCUGCGGCCGGCCGGGCGGUCCCGUACCGCGGGAUGCUGCGCACGGCGCUGGGAAUCGCGCAGGAGGAGGGCGUUCGGAAGCUCUGGCAAGGAGCCACGCCGGCCGUCUACCGCCACAUAGUAUACACUGGUGUUCGGAUGGUUACUUAUGAACAUCUCCGUGACUCCGUGCUUGGCAGGGUGGAGGGUGAAAGCUUUCCUCUCUGGAAAGCAGUGGUUGGAGGCAUGUCUGCGGGUGCCAUCGGACAGUUUUUUGCCAGCCCAACUGAUCUGGUGAAGGUGCAGAUGCAGAUGGAGGGAAAAAGGAAGUUGGAAGGAAAACCGUUAAGGUUUCGGGGCGUGCACCACGCAUUUCUGAAGAUCCUGUCUGAAGGAGGAGUAAGGGGACUUUGGGCUGGAUGGGUACCAAAUGUCCAGAGGGCUGCUCUGGUGAAUAUGGGAGAUCUAACCACUUAUGACUCAGUGAAACACUUUUUGCUUCUGAACACAACACUUGUGGACAAUAGCGUGACUCACAGUGUUAGCAGUAUCUGUUGCUGUUGGCAGUGCCUGCUCCGGGCUGGUAGCAGCUGUUCUGGGAACUCCUGCUGACGUGGUCAAAACCCGGAUAAUGAACCAGCCAAGAGAUAAGCAGGGAAGAGGUCUGCUCUAUAAAUCUUCUGUGGACUGCUUGAUUCAAACUGUCCAGGGUGAAGGGUUUAUGUCUCUGUACAAAGGCUUUAUACCAACCUGGAUGAGAAUGGCACCUUGGUCGCUGGUAUUCUGGCUUACAUAUGAACAAAUCAGAUGGAUGUGUGGAGUUACUUCUUUUUAAAACCUUUACCAUUCACAGAAGAGAGAAGACUCAAAAAGCUGAAUUCUCAUUCCACAAGGUAGUAAGAUCACAUGUAUAGCUUGUUGCUUCAAAUCCAGUCCUUACUGGCUGGGAGCAGCCCUGACUUGAGGAUACUAUUUGAUUGUCAGACUGCGACAUGAAAUUUGUUAUCCACAGGAUAAAAUUGUCACAAUAAUACUUCAGCUAGCAGCCAGCAUCAGCUUUCUCAACCAGCAAACAGGAAUUAAAAAAAUUCUACCAAGCAAAUGGAACAUAACACUGUCUGUUUGAUAAUUGAGAUGGUUUCUAUUGUUUGAGACAAGAGCAGGUUGAUCAAUGCACUGAACAAGUUCUGUGGCUAAACAUCUGUAAAAUUAUUUGGGAAUUUUUUGCUGUUAAUUGCAUUUGCACACAGAUAAAGAACUACCUCUUGUUAGUUUGAUGUCUCAGCAAGCUAACCCUGUAGUACUAGGUUUUGAAAAAGAUAAAAGCAGUUUUCCUGAUUUCAAAUCUGCUUUGCACAAAAAGUGGGUUUGUGUUUCUCUUACUUCCCAGAGACUGCCUGACCUCUCCACUCAACUAUUUGAGUAAGAUCAUGAUUGAAAUGCAGUCCUGUUCCCAGAAAAUCAAAAGCCUAGUUUGCUCUGCAGCACUCAAAGGACUCAGGAUACUCCAUAGGACUGAGCUGAACUACUUGUCCCAUGACAAUCUUGGUGCUGAUGUUGCAGACUGGGUCAUUUUCCAUGGAAAUGUGCUCUCUGCCCACUUCAAAUCUCUCUGGAAAUACAACUUUCCCUUCAAUAAUGCAAAACAUUUGAACAGAAGUGAUUUAUUUCUUUUUAAAUCUGAAGCUUUCCAGAUUUCAUAGAGAAGAAGACUAGUGCUGUUUGUCACUAGCCUUACCUUUGGCAAUCAAGAGUCAAAAAUGCAGUAUCAAAAGCAGCCAUGAGUAGAUAAAACAAAGCUGGCUUUGAUUUAGUAAUAUCUAAUAGUUGAAUUAAUGUAGAAAACUUGUCUCUCUGAAUAAAUACCCAGGAUUUCUUCUAGUCUUUGCAA